UCGGUGGGCACCGACGCCUCUCGUUAUCCCCAGCGGCCUCCUCCGAGGCUGGGAGCGGCCCAGGUCGGAGCUCUCACAGGGCCCGAGAGGAGAGAGGGCAGCCGCAUUUCAGAGAGAGCCGCCCCGGGGAGACGGAGCGGCCCGCUCAAGGUCACGCAGCGGCAGCCAUGUCUUUGGCCUCCAUCCGGGGCCACCUACAAGCGCUGGCCGAGCAGGGGGCACCGACACCGCCCCCCUCGGGGAGGCCGUGCUGGGGGCUUCAGACGGGCUCGGUCACAAGCAGAGAGAGGACGCCUCCUUUACUGGGGCCCCAAGAACAAAACAACUGGGCCUCCUUUUCCACCAGCAGCCUCUCACAAAGGCUCGACCGUUGUUGCCUAAGCAACCGGCUCCUAGUAACCGCUCCUUCCGGCAGAACACUUCCGUUUCCACUUCAGAGGAAGUGACUUCACCCUAGCUUUCUGAGGUGCGCUGUUCAGUGGAUUCAGUCUUAUCUUAUUUUAGGGUUCUAUUGGGAAAGAUACUGGAGGAGUUUGCCAUUUCCUUCUCCAAUUUAUUAUAUAGAUGAGGAAACUAAGAUUCGUCUUCCGUUAGGACUAAGGCCGCCUUUUUUCUCCUCCGCCUCUUCCCAUUCCCCUUUAGAUCAGGGUUUUGGCCUCAGUUAGGAUCACAACCUCGAGCCCACUCUGAUCGUGCCAUAGGAACUCAAGAGUUUCUCCUCCGGGACAACUUAACCCGAGGUUGCAUUCGGAUGCUCCUCCUCAGGAGACUACAUCUCCCAGGCUGCAUCGCUCUUGUUUCCGGAUGCAAGGAUUUAAUUUUGCAGCAUUGCGUAAUUGAAAUGUAAACUACGUCCUAGACUUGUCGGAACUCUAAAGGAUCAUAUAGUCCGAGGCUGCUUAACUGUUUAUAUCGAGGACCUUUUGGGCAUCCUUGUACAGCCUGUGGAUCUCUUUUCACAAUAAUGUUCUUAAAUAAUUGAAUAAUUAAAUUAAUUAUUGAUUAAUUUUUGAAUUGAUAAUUCAAUUGAAUAAUUGAUUGAUUGAUUGAUAAUUAAUAAUUGAAUAAAUAAAUAAUUGAAGGAAAUGCUGAAGUUCAGUUAGAGGUUAGUAAAAAUAAAGAUGCAUUUUUUUUCUAUCCAAGUUUAUGGACCUGCCGAAAUCUUUCCAGGGAUCUCAUGUAAAGAACCCACGCCUUAGUCCAGCCUCCUUAUUUUGCAUAUGUAGGCAAUGGGUCUCUGAGAGGUUAAGUGAGUUUCAUGUGGUCACCCAAUUUAUUAAGUGUGGACUCUUCCCUCUCCUAAUCCAU
This 1308-nucleotide long non-coding RNA is filed under the name Sarcophilus harrisii (Tasmanian devil). RNAcentral's name for it is "lncRNA (ENSSHAG00000021054.1)". Lineage: Eukaryota; Metazoa; Chordata; Mammalia; Dasyuromorphia; Dasyuridae. The record is from RNAcentral.